This 506-nucleotide ribosomal RNA is filed under the name uncultured organism. RNAcentral describes it as "bacterial SSU rRNA". It matches the Rfam family "Bacterial small subunit ribosomal RNA", at positions 773 to 1269 of the family's 1533-position model. The record is from RNAcentral.
CAGGAUUAGAUACCCUGGUAGUCCACGCCCUAAACGUUGUGUGCUGGAUGUCGGGGGCACAGGCCCACUGGGUGUCGGAGCUAACGUGUUAAGCACACCGCCUGGUGAGUACAGGCCGCAAGGUUAAAACUCAAAGGGAAUUGACAGGGGCACCGCACAAGCGGUGGAGCAUGUGGUUUAAUUCGAAGCAACGCGCAGAACCUUACCAGCUCUUGACAUGGCGGUUGUAGCCACGGGAGACCAGUGGUGUCGGUUCGGCCGGGCCGUCACAGGUGCUGCAUGGCAGUCGUCAGCUCGUGUCGUGAGAUGUUGGGUUAAGUCCCGCAACGAGCGCAACCCUUGCACUUCAGUUGCCAGCAGGGUAGGGCCGGGCACUCUGAAGGGACUGCCGGUGGCAAGCCGGAGGAAGGUGGGGAUGACGUCAAGUCCUCAUGGCCCUUAUGAGCUGGGCUACACACGUGCUACAAUGGCGGUGACAAUGGGCAGCGAGUUCGCUAAUACGAUCA